GAUGAACGCUGACAGAAUGCUUAACACAUGCAAGUCUUUGGCGAAUCUGUGCUUGCACAGGCUAGCCAAGGCGGACGGGUGAGUAACGCGUAAAGAACUUGCCCUGCAGACAGGGAUAACAGACGGAAACGACUGAUAACACCUGAUACAGUUGCCGGCACGCAUGUGCCUGGCAAUGAAAAGAGAUGCUGCAGGAGAGCUUUGCGUCCUAUUAGCUUGUUGGUGAGGUGACGGCUCACCAAGGCGAUGAUAGGUAGCCGGCCUGAGAGGGUGAACGGCCACAAGGGGACUGAGAUACGGCCCUUACUCCUACGGGAGGCAGCAGUGGGGAAUAUUGGACAAUGGGGGCAACCCUGAUCCAGCAAUUCUGUGUGCACAAAGAAGGUUUUCGGAUUGUAAAGUGCUUUCAGCAGGGAAGAAGAAAGUGACGGUACCUGCAGAAGAAGCGACGGCUAAAUACGUG
RNAcentral lists this ribosomal RNA (463 nucleotides) under uncultured bacterium. RNAcentral describes it as "partial 16S ribosomal RNA". It matches the Rfam family "Bacterial small subunit ribosomal RNA", at positions 28 to 507 of the family's 1533-position model. The record is from RNAcentral.